This is a microRNA precursor of Gossypium raimondii (Peruvian cotton), 88 nucleotides long. It matches the Rfam family "MIR7486 microRNA precursor family". The record is from Rfam. NCBI's taxonomy places the organism in Eukaryota, Viridiplantae, Streptophyta, Magnoliopsida, Malvales, Malvaceae.
CACAUUAGUGCGAGAUGCAGAACAUGGAAGGAAAUUGCAUCCUUGAAAGCGCGAUUUCCUUCCACAUCAGCAUCUCGCGCUGACGUGG